Non-coding RNA from Yamadazyma jaroonii, 130 nucleotides. The record is from the annotation of a GenBank genome assembly. Lineage: Eukaryota; Fungi; Ascomycota; Pichiomycetes; Serinales; Debaryomycetaceae.
AACUUUAUGCAGGGGCUUUACGUGUAUCAGUGAGGAUUCGUCCGAGAUCAUGUUUUUGCUAGUUGAAAACUUUAAACCUUGACAAACUCUUCGGUAUGUGGUUUCCAUCGAGUUGCUGAUACUGAAGGAA